This 433-nucleotide ribosomal RNA is filed under the name uncultured bacterium. Its description in RNAcentral is "partial 16S ribosomal RNA". It matches the Rfam family "Bacterial small subunit ribosomal RNA", at positions 29 to 507 of the family's 1533-position model. The record is from RNAcentral.
AACGAACGCUGGCGGCAUGCCUAACACAUGCAAGUCGAACGAUACCUUCGGGUCUAGUGGCGCACGGGUGCGUAACGCGUGGGAACCUGCCCUUAGGUUCGGAAUAACUCCCCGAAAGGGGUGCUAAUACCGGAUAAUGUCUUCGGACCAAAGAUUUAUCGCCGUUGGAUGGGCCCGCGUUGGAUUAGCUAGUUGGUAGGGUAAAAGCCUACCAAGGCGACGAUCCAUAGCUGGUCUGAGAGGAUGAUCAGCCACACUGGGACUGAGACACGGCCCAGACUCCUACGGGAGGCAGCAGUGGGGAAUAUUGGACAAUGGGCGAAAGCCUGAUCCAGCAAUGCCGCGUGAGUGAUGAAGGCCUUAGGGUUGUAAAGCUCUUUUACCCGGGAUGAUAAUGACAGUACCGGGAGAAUAAGCUCCGGCUAACUCCGUG